This is a long non-coding RNA of Balaenoptera ricei (Rice's whale), 1909 nucleotides long. RefSeq lists it as uncharacterized. The transcript is spliced from 3 exons. The record is from RefSeq and is a predicted model, not a curated record. Lineage: Eukaryota; Metazoa; Chordata; Mammalia; Artiodactyla; Balaenopteridae.
CGGAUUGAGAGGGUGCCGGGGCCGAGCAGGGUUGUCCCCUCUCGCUGGCCGCUCUCGCACCGGAAUUUCCGAAUUGAAGUAGUGAGGGCUGCCUGGCGGCAGCGGCCAGAAGACAACCCGGAGACCUACUCCCGGCGCUAGGGGCCCCGUCCCUGGGCUCGGCUACCCUUGAUUCUGCGUUUACACAGCGCUUUGUUGGAUACUGCCAACCACCCUGGACGAAAAAGUUUGCUGAUCCCGGCUUAGACUGUGAGCAACAUCGGCAACCUCGGUGCUCAUUCACUGCUGUAUCCCUGACACCUAGAAUGGAAGCUGGCACACAGUGGAGAAACUGAGGCUCGAGCCCAGGUCAUCCUGAUUCCUAAAUCCCCGCUCCUCGUCCCUCUGCCACCCAGUUCACCAUUUCGGCUCCCACUCACCUGGGCGUCGCGGAGAAAACGUCUGGGUGCAGCUCGGUCAGACCCAAGCGCUCCUGCUCGUAGCCCCGCAGGGCCUCGACCCAGGCCUGCACGGGACGCCGGUGCCCGAGUACCGGGAGCUCGCACCUGCGCAGCACGGGCACCCGGGGACCUGGAGCGAUUGGGAGGUCAGGGGUCAGGGGCAAGGGUCAGAGUUUCCGGUUGCCACCCCUCCUAGGGCAACCCCAGCAACCUCACCCGCGCUCGCCACCGGUUCUGGUUUCUCCGCCGGCUGCACUGCCUCUUCUGCCAGCGCCUUCAGGCCCUGUAAACGGUGAGCAAGAGUGAGAGACGAUUCCCGUACCCUCCAACCUUUGUCCUCCGACCCCGCCCUCAGUCCCCGGCCUCACCCGGCAGCCCUUGGGCCGAAGCCAGGCCCGCGCCCCGGCCCGGACUAGCUGCAGCAUUGUCGCGCAGCUCCCCACGCUUAGAGAGGUCAAGGCUUCCUCUGCUGGACUCUCUCGACGCCUCGCGAUGACGUCACGCCCGCGACGCCGCCGGCCGGGUUUGUAUUCGGCGUUAGAAAGUUGGGCGAGCAAGAGCAAAGACGGCGGGGCCCGCUAACGCCUGUCCCCACCUCCGCCCCAAGACUAACCCCAGACGCUAAUUUUCACUGCUGGCCUAAAGGAACCCUCUGCAACACCUGGGAGCGCGACCCCACAGCAAGAAACCCCGCCCCCUCUUCGGUCCCGCCCCCAAAGAGCCGGUGCGGUCAUCCAGCCAGUGAAACCUCCCUACUCAAAGGGCACGCUCCUCGUUCAGCCAAUGAGCGUUAAGUCUGGAAAAGUGGCUGGGCGGUGCUAGGGCGGGCACCUAAGGGAAUAUGGCCAAUAACUGUUACGCUUUUUUUUUUUUUGACGGCCACGUCCCCAGGGCCCGGCCGCUUCGUGCCUCCCAGACCCUAGCCGUUGGUUUCUCCAGGAACGUGGUUUUGUUUGCUUGUUUGUUUAAAUGCAGGGCGUUAUCUCUCACAGAAAGCCCUCAGGGUAGGGCCUGGCGGAUCGUGCUUCUCCUCUUAGAUUCCCCCAGGGCACGUCCCCCUCAAAUGCGUCAGGUUAGGAGAUGCGACUCCCCCCAUCUCCUAGGCCAAGGUCCUGUCGCGUCUCAGACUGCCAGGGCUCUCCGAGAGCAAACUGGGGAGUCCACAGAUCCUGCGUUGCCUCCCUCGUCCACUCUCACCAACAGAAAUCCAAACGCUCAUUUUUUAGGUUCUUUGCCACGUUCCCCGUCAGGCCUCCAGGCGGCGCCACGAGCCCAUAGCAGCCUGCCCUGGCGGGCCAGACCUGAGCGCUUGAUUGGCAGUGAGAAAUGGACCGAGUUUAGCCGCCGAGAACGUGGUCUGGGAGCCAACCUCAGUGUCCUCAUCUGGAAAAUGGGGAGGUGUGAGAUUCGAUGAAAUGAUGGAGGCAAAGCAUGCCAUGUGUAGAACAUGCGUAGCUUUAUUAUUAUUA